Molecule: ribosomal RNA, 504 nt
Filed under: uncultured Sphingobacteriales bacterium
Lineage: Bacteria; Pseudomonadati; Bacteroidota; Sphingobacteriia; Sphingobacteriales
Description: bacterial SSU rRNA
Rfam family: Bacterial small subunit ribosomal RNA
Source: RNAcentral
GCCACGCCCGCUCAGAAACUUAAAGGAAUUAGACGGGGGCCCGGCACAAGCGGAGGAGCAUGUGGUUUAAUUUCGAUGAUACGCGAGGAACCGUUACCUGGGCUCGAACGUAAGAUGACUGUAGGUGAAAGCUUACAUCUCUUCGGAGCAUUUUACGAGGUGCUGCAUGGUUGUCGUCAGCUCGUGCCGUGAGGUGUCGGGUUAAGUCCCAUAACGAGCGCAACCCCUACCUUUAGUUGCCAUCAGGUUAAGCUGGGGACUCUAAAGGAACUGCCUACGCAAGUAGUGAGGAAGGCGGGGAUGACGUCAAAUCAGCACGGCCCUUACGUCCAGGGCUACACACGUGCUACAAUGGCCGAUACAGAGGGCAGCUACCUGGUGACAGGAUGCAAAUCUCCAAAGUCGGUCUCAGUUCGGAUCGGGGUCUGCAACCCGACUCCGUGAAGUUGGAUUCGCUAGUAAUCGCGCAUCAGCCAUGGCGCGGUGAAUACGUUCCCGGGCCUU